ACCGGAUGGACCCAUCAUAAGCUGAAUUCGUUUAGCCGCAUAAAUCUUUCGUCUUUUACUAAAGAUUUCCGUGGAGGGGAACUUUUUGCGAGUUACCUGUAUUUUUGGAGACAUUUCUUUUGGUUUG
Molecule: small nuclear RNA, 127 nt
Filed under: Sinocyclocheilus rhinocerous
Lineage: Eukaryota; Metazoa; Chordata; Actinopteri; Cypriniformes; Cyprinidae
Description: U5 spliceosomal RNA (ENSSRHG00000018276.1)
Rfam family: U5 spliceosomal RNA (bases 17-127)
About the family: U5 RNA is a component of both types of known spliceosome.
Source: RNAcentral